This 64-nucleotide transfer RNA is filed under the name Coenobita perlatus. RNAcentral describes it as "tRNA-Glu". The record is from RNAcentral. Lineage: Eukaryota; Metazoa; Arthropoda; Malacostraca; Decapoda; Coenobitidae.
ACUUCUAUGGUGUAAGGAACAUAAUACAUUUUCGCUGUAUAGUUAAAAUUUUUUUUUAGAAGUU